UGUCCUUUAAAUAAAGCCUAGUGUGAACGGCUAAAUGAGGACAAAUCUGUCUCUUGCAACCAAUCAGUGAAACUGAUCUUCCGGUCCAAAAGCCGGAAUACCCCCAUAAGACGAGAAGACCCUGUGGAGCUUCAAACAAACUACUACGUGACACACCAAGGACACAACUAGUAAUAAACGUUUUGAGUUGGGGCGACUUCGGAAAUAAAAAAAACUUCCAAGCACAGAACCACCAGUUCUUACCAAGACCAACAAGUCAAAGCCUUAAAGCACGACCCAGUAACACUGAUCAACGAACCAAGUUACCCCAGGGAUAACAGCGCCAUCUUCUUCAAGAGUCCAUAUCGACAAGAAGGUUUACGACCUCGAUGUUGGAUCAGGACACCCUAAUGGUGCAGCCGCUAUUAAAGGUUCGUUUGUUCAACGUAGCACAGU
RNAcentral lists this ribosomal RNA (435 nucleotides) under Plestiodon inexpectatus (southeastern five-lined skink). RNAcentral describes it as "partial 16S ribosomal RNA". It matches the Rfam family "Bacterial large subunit ribosomal RNA", at positions 1970 to 2594 of the family's 2925-position model. The record is from RNAcentral. Lineage: Eukaryota; Metazoa; Chordata; Lepidosauria; Squamata; Scincidae.